UCCGAGUUAACCCCGGCAGUCCCCCACGAGUCCCCAGCACCGCACAAGUGCGGCCUGCCGGCAACAUGGGGUAAGGGUUGCGCUCGUUGCGGGACUUAACCCAACAUCUCACGACACGAGCUGACGACAGCCAUGCACCACCUGCACAAACCCCUAAAAGGACACCGUAUCUCUACGGCCAUGGUUUGCAUGUCAAACCCAGGUAAGGUUCUUCGCGUCUCUUCGAAUUAAGCAACAUGCUCCGCCGCUUGUGCGGGCCCCCGUCAAUUCCUUUGAGUUUCAGCCUUGCGGCCGUACUCCCCAGGCGGGGCACUUACUGCGUUAGCGACGGCACCGGGAGGGUCGCUCCCCCCGACGCCUAGUGCCCAUCGUUUACGGCGUGGACUAC
This 388-nucleotide unclassified non-coding RNA is filed under the name uncultured bacterium. RNAcentral's name for it is "contains 16S-23S intergenic spacer region". The record is from RNAcentral.